This 253-nucleotide unclassified non-coding RNA is filed under the name uncultured delta proteobacterium. RNAcentral's name for it is "contains 16S-23S intergenic spacer region". It matches the Rfam family "Bacterial small subunit ribosomal RNA", at positions 524 to 776 of the family's 1533-position model. The record is from RNAcentral. Lineage: Bacteria; Deltaproteobacteria.
UACGAAGGGUGCAAGCGUUGUUCGGAAUCACUGGGUGUAAAGGGUGUGUAGGCGGUUAGAUAAGUCGAAUGUGAAAGCCCUUGGCUUAACCAAGGAAUUGCAUUUGAUACUGUCUAACUUGAGUGUGAAAGAGGAAAGCGGAAUUCCUAGUGUAGCGGUGAAAUGCGUAGAUAUUAGGAGGAACACCAGAUGCGAAAGCGGCUUUCUAGUUCAACACUGACGCUGAGACACGAAAGCGUGGGUAGCAAACAGG